Long non-coding RNA from Culex quinquefasciatus (southern house mosquito), 758 nucleotides. RefSeq lists it as uncharacterized. Lineage: Eukaryota; Metazoa; Arthropoda; Insecta; Diptera; Culicidae. The transcript has 3 exons. The record is from RefSeq and is a predicted model, not a curated record.
ACAAAAUACCCAAUCUGACGAUCGUCGUUCGCCACGGAAGGUGAGGAUGUGGCGUUUGUGCGGUCCAGACCGGAACUAGCGGUGCAAAAUCGCUAGCUGAUAAUGCCCAGCUGCAGCCCCCAAACGACCCGGCGUGUUCGAGUAGCCCGUAUGACCGCGUACAUGACGUGGUUUAACGAAGCCUCGCCAAUCCAUCCAGUUUGAAGGGUUAUCACGAUCUGUACACGUGCACGUAGCUGUGCCGCUGGUCCCGGAGGUUGCCGAUUAUCUUGCCUUGCAAUACUGUCAUCACACCGCAGCACAGCCGAGGUCGUUUGCCUUAACACAAAUCUAUUUGCAAAAAUCCUAACUUGAUUUUCCCGCCUUGGAACGCAUUUGCCCCUCGCCCCUGGUGUGAACCUACAAGAACGGUGGCCACAAUUUGACAACGAUCUAGCGUGUGUGAAUCAUCCUGAGUUCAGCGUUGCGCAUUGUGAGUUUUACAACUAAUGAAUGUUCAGCUCCAAUCCGGGCAGCAUCCGCCAUCUACAUUCCGAUCCUCGUCGCGAUCCUGAUCGCGUGACCUUUCUUGCGAUAACUUUUCAUCAAGAAAAGGUUAUUCUGCGUGGUGCCUCAAAAUAUCUUCAAAACCAUAACCAGAAUUACAUCGGAGAGUUAGAGAGCCGCAGACGAUCAUGGAUAUUUGUAAGAUUAGGCUCCCUACGGUCAUCAAUACGAUGGUGAAUAAAUGCACAACGCCGCAGACCUCAAUUCGUAGG